RNAcentral lists this ribosomal RNA (481 nucleotides) under uncultured bacterium. RNAcentral's name for it is "bacterial SSU rRNA". It matches the Rfam family "Bacterial small subunit ribosomal RNA", at positions 17 to 518 of the family's 1533-position model. The record is from RNAcentral.
UCCUGGCUUAGGACGAACGCUGGCGGCGUGCUUAACACAUGCAAGUUGAACGGUAUGACAUGGAAGCUUGCUGAAGUGUCAUAUAGUAGCGGACGGGUGAGUAAUGCAUGAGAAGCUGCCAUUGGGAGGGGGACAACAGUUGGAAACGGCUGCUAAUACCCCGUAUGCCGGAGGGUGAAAGGGAGUAAUCCGCCCGAUGAGGUGCUCAUGUCCUAUCAGCUGGUUGGUGGGGUAACGGCCUACCAAGGCGACGACGGGUAGCCGGCCUGAGAGGGUGAACGGCCACACUGGAACUGAGAUACGGUCCAGACUCCUACGGGAGGCAGCAGUGGGGAAUAUUGGGCAAAGUGGGGGCAACCCUGACCCAGCGACGCCGCGGUGGGGGAAGACGGCCUUCGGGUUGUAAACCUCUUUUGUACGGGAAGAAGGAAGUGACGGUACUGUACGAAUAAGUCCCGGCUAACUACGUGCCAGCAGCCGC